GGCAGUUCUCGCACCCUGGAAUCAGGCUCCCUCCUCUUUGGUUCUGGGUGUGUCAUCCAAGGACCACA
Molecule: non-coding RNA, 68 nt
Organism: Myotis lucifugus (little brown bat)
Lineage: Eukaryota; Metazoa; Chordata; Mammalia; Chiroptera; Vespertilionidae
Source: Rfam